CGGUAUAAGGUGUGGUUAGCUUUGUAUUAGGAUUUACUCCGAAAGCAAGGAAACUUACAACAAAGAGUCCCUCCCGACUGUUUACCAAAAACACAGCACUCUGCUAACUCGUAAGAGGAUGUAUAGGGUGUGACGCCUGCCCGGUGCUCGAAGGUUAAUUGAUGGGGUUAGCAUUAGCGAAGCUCUUGAUCGAAGCCCGAGUAAACGGCGGCCGUAACUAUAACGGUCCUAAGGUAGCGAAAUUCCUUGUCGGUUAAAUACCGACCUGCAUGAAUGGCGUAACGAGAUGGGAGCUGUCUCAAAGAGGGAUCCAGUGAAAUUGUAGUGGAGGUGAAAAUUCCUCCUACCCGCGGCAAGACGGAAAGACCCCGUGGACCUUUACUACAGCUUGACACUGCUACUUGGAUAAGAAUGUGCAGGAUAGGUGGGAGGCUUUGAGUAUAUGACGCCAGUUGUAUAUGAGCCAUUGUUGAGAUACCACUCUUUCUUAUUUGGGUAGCUAACCAGCUUGAGUUAUCCUCAAGUGGGACAAUGUCUGGUGGGUAGUUUGACUGGGGCGGUCGCCUCCCAAAUAAUAACGGAGGCUUACAAAGGUUGGCUCAGAACGGUUGGAAAUCGUUCGUAGAGUAUAAAGGUAUAAGCCAGCUUAACUGCAAGACAUACAAGUCAAGCAGAGACGAAAGUCGGUCUUAGUGAUCCGGUGGUUCUGUGUGGAAGGGCCAUCGCUCAAAGGAUAAAAGGUACCCCGGGGAUAACAGGCUGAUCUCCCCCAAGAGCUCACAUCGACGGGGAGGUUUGGCACCUCGAUGUCGGCUCAUCGCAUCCUGGGGCUGGAGCAGGUCCCAAGGGUAUGGCUGUUCGCCAUUUAAAGCGGUACGCGAGCUGGGUUCAGAACGUCGUGAGACAGUUCGGUCCCUAUCUGCCGUGGGCGUAAGAAGAUUGAAGAGAUUUGACCCUAGUACGAGAGGACCGGGUUGAACAAACCACUGGUGUAGCUGUUGUUCUGCCAAGAGCAUCGCAGCGUAGCUAAGUUUGGAAAGGAUAAACGCUGAAAGCAUCUAAGCGUGAAGCCAACUCUAAGAUGAAUCUUCUCUAAGCUCUCUAGAAGACUACUAGUUUGAUAGGCUGGGUGUGUAAUGGAUGAAAGUCCUUUAGCUGACCAGUACUAAUAGAGCGUUUGGCUUAUCUUU
Molecule: ribosomal RNA, 1190 nt
Filed under: Campylobacter jejuni
Lineage: Bacteria; Pseudomonadati; Campylobacterota; Epsilonproteobacteria; Campylobacterales; Campylobacteraceae
Description: partial 23S ribosomal RNA
Rfam family: Bacterial large subunit ribosomal RNA
Source: RNAcentral